This 268-nucleotide unclassified non-coding RNA is filed under the name Hevea brasiliensis (rubber tree). The record is from RNAcentral. Lineage: Eukaryota; Viridiplantae; Streptophyta; Magnoliopsida; Malpighiales; Euphorbiaceae.
AAAAAACUCACUCUAAAACCAAAUUCCCGUCGGCCUUCCCCGCUGGCGGGGCCGUUUUCACAUAGCGUGUCGUUUCAGGUCAAAAAAAGUUCUAAAUUCCCUCUUCAGAACUUGCUUCAAUCAUCUUCCAUUCCAUUACAUCACCAAUUUCUCUGGGUUGAUUUCCGCUUCUUUGUCUAGUGAUGUCGUACGAUUAUCUAUUCAAGUACAUCAUCAUCGGGGAUACAGGUGUGGGCAAAUCUUGCUUGCUAUUGCAGUUCACGGACAA